GAUCCUGGCUUAGGACGAACGCUGGCGGCGUGCCUAACACAUGCAAGUCGAGCGGAGACAUGCGACGGAUGCGAAGUUUCGGAUGGAGCUGAAGAUGUAUGUUUAGCGGCGGACGGGUGAGUAACGCGUGAGCAACCUGUCCCUUACAGGGGGAUAACACAGCGAAAGUUGUACUAAUACCGCAUGAGACCACGGUGAGACAUCUCACAGGGGUCGAAGGAGCAAUCCGGUAAGGGGUGGGCUCGCGUCCGAUUAGAUAGUUGGUGAGGUAACGGCCCACCAAGUCGACGAUCGGUAGCCGACCUGAGAGGGUGAUCGGCCACAUUGGGACUGAGACACGGCCCAAACUCCUACGGGAGGCAGCAGUGGGGAAUAUUGGGCAAUGGGGGAAACCCUGACCCAGCAACGCCGCGUGAGGGAAGAAGGUUUUCGGAUCGUAAACCUCUGUCCUUGGUGAAGAGAAAGAGACGGUAGCCAAGGAGGAAGCCCCGGCUAACUACGUGCCAGCAGCAGC
RNAcentral lists this ribosomal RNA (514 nucleotides) under uncultured bacterium. RNAcentral's name for it is "bacterial SSU rRNA". It matches the Rfam family "Bacterial small subunit ribosomal RNA", at positions 15 to 518 of the family's 1533-position model. The record is from RNAcentral.